AACAACCUGCAUAAUGUAAUUUCUUUCAUAUUCGUUAUUAAAGUUCUCCCGAACAAAUUCUAGUGAAUCAUAUAGGGCACCCAAAGCAGCUAAACGUACAGCGGCAUCCGGUUCUUCUUUACGGGCACCAGCAACGACUGCAGUAAGGAUAGCGUUCGAUUGAGCAGAGAGGACUUCCGGAGAAACAGAUUCACAAAUAUAACCAAUUGUUUGUAAGGAAUGUUGUUUUAAAGCUGACGGUUGACCUUCACCAACAUUUGCAACCAGCGUAACCAUCAAGUCGGGCCAUUGGUUAGUCGCUAAUUCAUAAGCUGCAAUAGCAGCAACAAGUUGAGCUGCAGAUUGGCCGGCCUGAUGCUCUGAUGAGCCGAGAGUUUGUAAAGCUAAGC
Molecule: non-coding RNA, 389 nt
Organism: Schizosaccharomyces pombe (fission yeast)
Lineage: Eukaryota; Fungi; Ascomycota; Schizosaccharomycetes; Schizosaccharomycetales; Schizosaccharomycetaceae
Source: the annotation of a GenBank genome assembly